GACGAACGCUGGCGGCGUGCUUAACACAUGCAAGUCGAACGAAGAGCGGUGGAACCUUGCUUCUAUCCAUCUUAGUGGCGCACGUGUGAGUCACGCGUAAUCAACCUGCCCUUCAGUGGGGUACAACAGUGGGAAAGGACCUCUUAUACCGCAUACUAUCCAAUCUCGGCAUCGAGUAGUGAUAAAAGGUGGUCUCUAUUUAUAAGCUAUCAUUCAAGCAGGAGUUUGCGUCUGAUUAGCUAGCUGGUUGGGAAACGGCCCAACAAUGCGAUGAUCAGUAGCCGGUCUGAGAGGAUGGAUGGCCAAAUUGGGACUGAGACACCGCCCAGAACUCUUAGGGAGGGAGCAGGGGGGGAACUUCCGGAAUGGAGGGAAGUCUGACGGAGGAACGCCGGGUGGGUGAUGAAGGCCUUCGGGUUGUAAAGAUCUGUUAAUCGGGACGAAAGGACUUCGUGCGAAUAGUUAGAGGAAUUGACGGUACCGGAAUAGAAAGCCACGGCUAACUACGUG
This 510-nucleotide ribosomal RNA is filed under the name uncultured bacterium. RNAcentral describes it as "partial 16S ribosomal RNA". It matches the Rfam family "Bacterial small subunit ribosomal RNA", at positions 28 to 507 of the family's 1533-position model. The record is from RNAcentral.